UGCCAGCAGCCGCGGUAACACGAACCGUACGAACGUUAUUCGGAAUCACUGGGCUUAAAGAGUGCGUAGGCGGCCAGGCAAGUUGGGUGUGAAAUCCCUCGGCUCAACCGAGGAACUGCGCUCAAAACUGCUUGGCUUGAGGGAGACAGAGGUGAGCGGAACUAAUGGUGGAGCGGUGAAAUGCGUUGAUAUCAUUAGGAACACCGGUGGCGAAGGCGGCUCACUGGGUCUCUUCUGACGCUGAGGCACGAAAGCUAGGGGAGCGAACGGGAUUAGAUA
RNAcentral lists this ribosomal RNA (279 nucleotides) under uncultured bacterium. Its description in RNAcentral is "partial 16S ribosomal RNA". It matches the Rfam family "Bacterial small subunit ribosomal RNA", at positions 506 to 784 of the family's 1533-position model. The record is from RNAcentral.